GGGUGCGUAGCUCAGCGGUAGAGCACUGCCUUCACACGGCAGGGGUCACAGGUUCAAUCCCUGUCGCACCCA
Kozakia baliensis is the source of this 72-nucleotide transfer RNA. It matches the Rfam family "tRNA". From Rfam's summary of the family: Transfer RNA (tRNA) molecules are approximately 80 nucleotides in length. Their secondary structure includes four short double-helical elements and three loops (D, anti-codon, and T loops). Lineage: Bacteria; Pseudomonadati; Pseudomonadota; Alphaproteobacteria; Acetobacterales; Acetobacteraceae. The record is from Rfam.